GCUUAGGUUUCUCGUCUUAGGAUCAUCUGGGGUCAUUCGUACUCGUCCGCGAGAGGUGAAAUUCUUGGACCGGACGAAGACGAUCAGCAGCGAAAGCAUCUGUCAGGGAUGUUUUCUGCGACAAAGGACGAAGGUCAGGGUAUCGAAGACGAUUAGAUACCGUCGUAGUCCUGACUGUAAACUAUGCCGACUUGGGUCUUGCAGAGUAAAUACUUUGUGAGACCCACACAGAAAUGAAAGUGUAUGGGUUCUGGGGGUAGUAUGGACACGAGUCUGAAACUUGAAGGAAUUGACGGAAGAGCACCAUAAGACGUGGAGCUUGCGGCUUAAUUUGACUCAACGCGGGAAAACUUGCCAGGUCAAGACAUGGACGUGAUUGACAGGCUAAUGACCUUUCUCGAUUCCUUGGAUGGUGGUGCAUGGUCGCACUUAGUUGGUGCAGUGAUUUGUCAGGUUUAUUCCGGUAACGAACGAGACCUCGGCCUUGUAAAUAGUUUUACUGCUUACAGGGACAAUGUCGGCUACGUCAAGGAAGUUCGAGGCAAUUGCAGAUCUGGAAUGCCCUUAGAUGUCCUGGGUCGCACGCGUGCUACAAUGACGCCACGAGCGAGUUCAUGUGUUGAAAGACAUGUGAAAUCAGC
Molecule: ribosomal RNA, 641 nt
Filed under: uncultured freshwater eukaryote
Lineage: Eukaryota
Description: bacterial SSU rRNA
Rfam family: Eukaryotic small subunit ribosomal RNA
Source: RNAcentral